This 67-nucleotide transfer RNA is filed under the name Sucra jujuba. RNAcentral describes it as "tRNA-Glu". The record is from RNAcentral. Lineage: Eukaryota; Metazoa; Arthropoda; Insecta; Lepidoptera; Geometridae.
AUUUAUAUAGUUUAAAUAAAAACAUUACAUUUUCACUGUAAAAAUAAAAUCUUUUUUUUUAUAAAUA